This 440-nucleotide ribosomal RNA is filed under the name uncultured bacterium. RNAcentral describes it as "bacterial SSU rRNA". It matches the Rfam family "Bacterial small subunit ribosomal RNA", at positions 335 to 762 of the family's 1533-position model. The record is from RNAcentral.
ACUCCUACGGGAGGGCAGCAGUAGGGAAGUCUUCCACAAUGGGCGCGAAGCCUGAUGGAGCAACACCGCGUGAGUGAAGAAGGGUUUACGGCUCGUAAAGCUCUGUUGUUAAAGAAGAACACGUAUGAGAGUAACUGUUCAUACGUUGACGGUAUUUAACCAGAAAGUCACGGCUAACUACGUGCCAGCAGCCGCGGUAAUACGUAGGUGGCAAGCGUUAUCCGGAUUUAUUGGGCGUAAAGAGAGUGCAGGCGGUUUUCUAAGUCUGAUGUGAAAGCCUUCGGCUUAACCGGGAGAAGUGCAUCGGAAACUGGAUAACUUGAGUGCAGAAGAGGGUAGUGGAACUCCAUGUGUAGCGGUGGAAUGCGUAGAUAUAUGGAAGAACACCAGUGGCGAAGGCGGCUACCUGGUCUGCAACUGACGCUGAGACUCGAAAGCAU